This is a long non-coding RNA of Toxorhynchites rutilus septentrionalis, 843 nucleotides long. RefSeq lists it as uncharacterized. The transcript has 4 exons. The record is from RefSeq and is a predicted model, not a curated record. NCBI's taxonomy places the organism in Eukaryota, Metazoa, Arthropoda, Insecta, Diptera, Culicidae.
UGAACUGUCAUUCAAAACAAAACAGAGAAUUGAUCGAGAUGCAAACUGUCUAUUCAAUAAUGGAACACACAGCAACAGGAAUUUGUCGUGAUUUGCUGCAGUCAGGCUAAACAUCAUCUAAGAACAGAUUCUCUACAUGCCACCAUCGGGUUCCUCCAAGGUUAUUUGGAAUUCAGGAGAAUUGCAAUGGAACAGGCAUAAGACUGGCACAAGUUUUCAACACUAAGGGAAUACGUGAAAUUAUACACUUCAUAGCGUUAUAUGUGAUCCGAAAAGUUUCUCAUAGGUAACAUUUUAGCCAAUUAUAAAGGAUAUUAGCGUCAGUAGUGAAGAUUUAAAAGUUAAAUGACAUUGGAAAGAUCAUCAGUCUUCAACUGGCACUGGACAUAGGACAAUCUUCUCCUAUCUCUAUAAUAAUAUCACUAUCUGUGAAUAUCAGGUAGAAUUCUCCAAACGCUGUCACCCUUCAACGAGAGGAUCUCAAUUCUCCAGUGUACAUUUUCGGUCCUGUUAUUAGACCCGUCGUUCAUCAUCUCAUCGACGCUGUCGAAUCAGUAAAAUCGUUGCAGUGACUGAAAAGGGAUUCAUUCUAUUGGAAUAAUUCAAUCAUUCAUUCAGAUCAUUCAACUUCAAACUGCGUCAGGAAAUUUCACUGGCUUCUGAAGGCUCAGACAAGCCGAUCGGAAGUUUUUUACGUAGUUCAUGAAAGAAUACAUUCCAAAACAGAUGCAGUUUUAGUUGUGCAUUUUGAGUGAUUUUGUUAACCAUUGAAUUGUAAAUUGUUAUGUUAACACUGCAAACAAAUUUUUAUUCUCACAAUGCCCAAUAUGAACAAUUAAUCAA